CCCCAUACUCUCUUCUGCUUCUACAGCCACCGGAGAGGCCCUCGAUUAAAGUUGGAGACAUCUCAAGAUGGGAGAAGCCUAGAUCCCCAUGUCACGGCUUGAAGGAGAGCCACCAGGAAAGCUGCCAGAAGAGAAAUAUCUUUAUUGGUCUCAGCAUGCAGGAGAAAUUAACUUUUAUUGGAUUAAUCCUUCGAGAUUUGAGAUGGCUGUUGAUGGACGGCUGUCCCCUGCACACCGACAGAAACAUCUUCGUGCUAGGUUUGCCCAGCUGAACACAUGCCACAGCUGAUCCGUCUGUUGAGCAGGCCGCACACCACUGCUGAUCAAUCUUCACAUGCCAAUUAUGUGAUGUGGAGUGGGCUGGGAGGAGCAUGCACAGGGGACCUCUGAGGGUCUAUUUGAGGGCAUGAAUAUGGAAAAUUCAGCUCCAGCUCCUCCACCCCACUCCCUGAACAGCACUGCAGAACUGUGCUAAGCUCCUGUGGCUUGGAAAGAACAGAUGCAAGAGACAUAAUAAAUGCCUCCAAAUAACUUAGUCCUCAACCUGAAGCCAAAGUGAUUUCGGUGUACCAGGAUUGAAAUACUUCUGUAUUCACAACUGAAUGGAUAAACGGGCACUCCUUGUGGCUCCUCAUUGUAUGUCCCCUAGAGGGUCAGCAAGGCCAAGAAUUGGUUUGUGGAACAAAUAUCCAUUACUCCAAUCGGGGAUGAAAAAGAGUACACGCCAUGGAUUUUGCUCUCGGGAGUGAUUGAUUCAGCGAGUGAAAUAAGACCAACAUGCAUGGAAGGGUUGAUGAUGCUAGAAUCUCCCACACUUUGCCAGCCACAGGGAAGUCAAAUCAGUAUUGACUUUGUUAUUCAAAUCAGCACCAGACCGGUCACUUUUAGAAGUGAUACCAUGGGAGGCAAUUAAACCCAGGAAAAUGCUGAGCACUAGAGUGACCAUGCAAGAAGGGGCCUUAGAGAUAGAUCCUGUACGUCUUCACCUGUUGGUGCCAGGGCCAGAACAGAGGCCUGCAAGGGUAAGAGCAAGCUCAGCACCACAGAACUUGUAGGUAACAGAGCCGGGCUCAAGUGCACGCUUCCUGACUGCAAUUUCAACACUCCCAUUCAAGGUGAGAGUGAAAAAUAUUUUCCCCUAGGCUUUCCCCAGUGAUAUUCCCCUAUGCACCAGCAGAGCAUGAGGGUAUGAGACGAAGAUGCACAUCCUAGCCCUAGCUUUGCUACUGACUAGCCACGUGUGUUUGAGCAACUCACAAAACUUCUCCAGAUUUCAGACUCCUCAUUUGUAAAAUAAAGUCAUUUGAUUUGUCCAUUGCUCUCCAUAGUUCACCAAAGUGCCCCUCGUAGGAGAGUGGAAUGGAUGAUGUUUAGAGUAGAAGCUUGGAGAUGUGGCAAUAAGUGACCUUGUGCAAGUGAGAAAUGCACUCAAUAUAUUGGAAUUUGUCUGUCUUAAUAAUUUGUGUGGCUUCUACAUUUUACUUAGUAAUAUAUCUGUGUUUGCUUUCGGGUGAAAAUACUGUUUGAAAUGUCUUACUAUCCAUGAAACUUGGUUUACCAAAGAGGGCCUGUUUUCCCUGAGGUACAAGGACUAGAAGGUUUUCUGAGGCCACCCCCAGCCCCCAUUCAUUGAUUUCGUGUCUUAAGUUGUUUGUGUUUUUUAUUUUAUCACACCCUCCUAUUUCUGGUUCCCAGAAUGUAAGUAGUUCUCCCUCCACAAUGUUCAACAGUCCUCAAUAAUGCCCGGCUAUGUGAAGAUGGAAAGAUGAGGGAAAAUUAGCACCAUAAGCAGAGUCUGGAAAGGUACACAGACAUUUAACAGAUGGAAACAGGAGGGCUGCCAUUCUAGAAAGAUAUGAGGACUGCUCAUCAGCCUGGCUUCCGCUAGAGGAGAUCUAC
This 1899-nucleotide long non-coding RNA is filed under the name Homo sapiens (human). RNAcentral's name for it is "HSALNT0249059". The record is from RNAcentral. Lineage: Eukaryota; Metazoa; Chordata; Mammalia; Primates; Hominidae.